AUGUUUGUGGUCUGCUUCAUCGCAUUUUCCUGUACAGCUGUGUAUUGCAAAUUUAGUCAUACAGCAGUUUUUGUUGUUGUCAUUUUUAAUCAACAUUUGUUCAGUGGGGCAAAACUUGGGAGAUGUUUACAGAUGUUUUUCUUUCCUUUUUUCUAUCCGACAGUCGCUGAAUUUACAGCAAGUAUGUUCAGACAUGAGGUCUCUCAUGAACACUGGCUUCUGAAAGCUCAGAACUACAGUGCGGCAGAUCAUCGUUUGAUCUGGGAGGAUGAGUGGCUGGGAUACAGGAACGAGAGUGAGAGUAUUCUGGACCAGACUAACAUGUGGAUGGUCAUUCGAGAGAAAGGUGUCUACCUGGUCUAUAUACAAGCUAACUUCAUUCUAAACCCACGGAAGAAUAAUGGUUCUACUGUAGAACUGAAAAUUUUAGUGGAUUUCAGUUAUGGUGGGCAGAAGGAGAUUUUUUCAGCCGCACAUGACACUCAGGUGGUGAGUGUCAACUCGUCUCCAGAUGCGAAGCUCAACACUUUCCUUCUGAUGAAAAUGCAGUCAACAAGCCAGUUAUCAGUGAGAGUAUUUCCAAGUCACUUGGUGAACUACCAACCCAGACCCUUCUCCACCUUUAUCACUAUCAUAAAACUGGCAGACAACUGGUAGACUGUCGCAUAUGUUGCAGAAGUGAUUGGCUUUCCCGGUGAAAACCAUAUCCAUGUCCAAUUUUUACAAUGACGGUUGUUCUUAUCUUCUUGUUAGCUUUAUAUGUGACAUUCUGAGUGGACGCGGUCUCAAGAUCAGCUGCUAGAACACCUGAGAUUUUCCAGCUAUUGUACUAGGAAAUGCUCGCUGACAUUAACAAGGAUUGCGUGGGGGGUUGUGAUACUUUCUUGGUGUUUUUUCUUCUUCCUUUCGAAAUAUGAAGAUCACAUCUCAUGAUCUUCUCAGAAGCAUGACACAUUUUCCUCUCAACAGAUAUAUGAGUUAGGUUUGUUUUGUUUCAGUUUUUUUAUGAGUCAAGAUCAAAAAGGGCAUGAUAUACUGUUUAUGAGCACCGACUUUGAAGAUUCUCAUGUAUUACUUACAUAAAAGAUGUCAUAACUGCCUGCAAACAUUUGUUUUACAAAACAGUAGUAAGCUAAUUCUCUUUAGUGAAGUGCAUCUUCCUGUAUAUAUUUAAUCACGCAGUAUUUUAAUCAUCGACAGUUGAAUGUAAACACUUCUUAAUACCCUAUCUUUGUCCAGCAUCAGUGUUUGAUAUGAAUGCUCAUUGUGUCAAAACAAAAGCUAAUGAUAUGGAGCAAUAUUUUGUGUAAAUAUGUGCUUCCUUUUUUAAGACAAGAAAUCUGCAUUUUUAUUUGUCAAAGUUCUUGAAAUGUGGUGCCAAUUUUUAUCUGUGAGCAGAUUCAUCCAGCCACAGAAGCUGGAAAGAUUAUUUUUUCAUGAAUGUCAUGGAAGUGUUUUCUGGUGGUGGUGGUGGUGAUGUUUUUUUGUUCUUUUUCCUCACAUAAAAAAAUACCACUAGUUACACUAAUGCAAUCAGUCAAGCAAGCCAUAGGAAUCUGAACAACAUCAGCUGUUUUAAUGAGACAACGGAGUGCUUUUCUUUUCCAGCGAGUGGGAAAGUUUCUUUUCCAAAACCCAGUAUUUUUUUCUGUCAGGAAAAUACCUUUUCUGAUGAUUCAUACUUUUUUUGUAUUCAGAUGACCCAAACCAGCUGGCCAAAUCUAAAGAAGAUAUUUAAAACAAGAGAGUAAAUGUACUGCUUUUUUCUUUCUUUCUUUUUGUAUGAAAUUUUUGUUCUUUCACAGCUAAGCCCUUAUACAUAUUAUAUCUAAAAAGGUAAUUGUUAAUGCUGAGUGAUUUUAAUUUACUACUUUUUUUUUUUUUACUGUUCUCAAAUAUGCAAAAAUAUAUUUAUGUCAUUUUAAUAUUUUUAUUUAAACUAAUAAUUAUAAAUAAAGCAAUCUGUUUUCCCUUUGCAUGCCUCAUUUUCAGUAAGUUAAUUUCUUUAUAUUAACCAAACAUCACACUUCAGUAGAAAGUUGUUUGUGAUAAAUGUUUAAUAAAUGGAUGGUUACAAAAAUGUCCCAACCAGACAAUGUAAUAUCACAAACAAAAUGAUUUAUGUUAAUGUUAUCUGGUCUUUAAGCUUUAUAUAUAAACAUACCUUUAAUAAAAAUGUAUAGACUAUUUAUUGAGAGAGAGAGAGAGAAAAUGGUUGAUGUCUGUCAAACUGUUAGUGUUGUGUUCCUUGCAGAACCAGAACAGCAUAACCAUAAACCAACAUUACAUUGUAGGAGAUUUUUUUGUGUGACAACCUAAUGAAAAUGUACAAAAUAUCUAAUGGCUGUAAUUAGUUUAUUUUUAUUUGUUUACAGCCAUCAACUGACAUUCCUAGAAUGUCCUGGGAACCAGAAACGUUUAGUUGGGUGAUUCUCAUUGUAACUUGUAUGCUGAACGAGGAGGCGUAUUAUACUUUAGGUCCUGAAGUAAAGCGUCUGAGAAGGGCUGAUUUAGUUGACGUAGGUCUAGAUGUAGCGGUACGUACUGCCCCCUUGUGGCAGAGAUUUAAAUCUGACGGAAAACGGUGAGUCAAGUCGGAAGUUACAGGGUUUCAGUUGAGUCAUGUUGUGAAUUUAAUCUUCAAAGUGUUGCUAAAGAGGAAAUUGUGAAUGAAAAAAUCACGUUUUUGUAACUGCCCUGACUGAGUAAAUAAAUAAACUUACCUUGCACAAAGGCACUCAGUUUCGUUUACAAAAGCAUGGAGACAAGGACCAUAAGAAUAAAGACAAUCGCUUUAUUAAAGAAUACAAAAAUCUAAACAAACAUUACCAGGUGUGGCACACACUAGUUACUGAUCAUGUCACUUUGUAGGGAAAAACUCUGAAGAGAGUUAGCAUUUUAAUGCGUCAAUGAGCACGUCUACAUGCUGAUAACUCACAAAUAUCAGCCUAUUAAAAUAACCAGUUUUCCUCAUUUACAUGCACAUCAGUAACCUGACAACGCACCUGACUUCAUUCAUAAAACAGGUUAUUUUCCUGUAGUGACUUCAAAAUAUAAUAAUUUGCUUAUCUGACUCGGAGUAUUCCAUACAUUUGUCAGUUGUGAUGUUAAAUUAAGCUUGCACCAUGUCAACUUGUAACAUUUCGGGAAACUAACGGCUUAUCAGGGUCAACUAAACGCUGUAUUUUCAAAAGUAUGUGAAAUAUUUAAAGUUUGCAGCAUAGAACCUUGAAAGAGUUUUACACACUCUGUUAUUGUGGCAACAUUUCCACACCUCGAAACGUGCCGGUGAACGAAACGAACUGUGAUUGGUUGUUUGACAUGUCGGUCAAACGGUCUUAUGGGCGGGCCUUGGCCAAUGAAAGCUGCCACGAAUUCCAGACCAUCAUUCUGAAAUUCUUUAGUGCUAAAUGGUUGAAAAGGGUUAAAUGUAUGUAAUUUGGUGUAAUUUUUGAUACACAUUUGUAACUUGAAGCACAUAUCAAGAGCAUUUCAAAAUCAGCUUUUUUCCAUCUAAGAAAUAUUGCCAGGAUUAGGCCUUUUCUUUCAUUACCUGAUGCAGAAAGGCUUGUCCAUGCACUCGUUACCUCUAGGGAUGAUUAUUGCAAUAUCCCUUUAUCUUGGCCUACCUGCAAAGUCUAUUAAGCAACUGCAACUCAGCUGCCCGUGUUCUUACACAUACUCCUUCUGCAGGGGCAUUGCACAAGAUCCCGGGCCCUAUGCAUAUGCAGUCCUGAUGGGCCCCCAUAUAAAAAAAAUUAAAUAUAUUCCAGACUUUUCAAGGGCCCUCUCUUCCUCUGGGGCCCUGGUAAUCAGUACUGGUUUUACCCCCAGUCCGACGUCCCUGCUCAUAAGCAUAUCUCUGGGGUUCUUAGGAACCUGCAUUGGCUUCCAGUCCAUGCCCAUGUUGAAUUUAAAACUCUUAUUUUAGCAUAUAAAGCUGUACAUGGAACUGCACCAUCAUAUGUGAUUUAAUUACGCUAUAUAUGCCCUCUCGAUCUCUCCGCUCCGCCAAUCUUUCCUCCUUAAACAGCCUUCUUUCAUCUAAAAAUGAUGGGUGAAAGAGCCUUCUCUGUGGCAGCCCCCAGGUUGUGGAAUUCACUUCCCUUAACUGUUAGGAAUGCCCCAACAUUUACAAGUUUUAAGAAACAGUUAAAAUCCCAUCCUUUUAAGUUGGUGUUUUAGUCUUGAUUGGUGACAAUGGAUGCACAUUGUAUUCUACCUCUUGUUGCAUUCUUAAUUUUGUUUUAUUAAUCUUUUUUUUCUUCUUUUUUGUAUUUAAAAAAAAAAUGUAUUUACUUUUGUUCUGUGCUUGUUGUAGCGCUUUGGGUAUAAGAAAAGUGCAAUAUAAAUAAAAUGUAAAAAAAAAGUCUG
This 4374-nucleotide long non-coding RNA is filed under the name Carassius auratus (goldfish). RNAcentral's name for it is "lncRNA (ENSCARG00000011915.1)". Lineage: Eukaryota; Metazoa; Chordata; Actinopteri; Cypriniformes; Cyprinidae. The record is from RNAcentral.